CCCGCGUAACGGGGUAGUGCUGAGCACGCUGUGCAGUAACGCGUGGGAACGUACCCUUUUCUACGGAAUAACGCAUGGAAACGUGUGCUAAUACCGUAUACGCCCUUUGGGGGAAAGAUUUAUCGGAGAAGGAUCGGCCCGCGUUGGAUUAGCUAGUUGGUGGGGUAAAGGCCUACCAAGGCGACGAUCCAUAGCUGGUCUGAGAGGAUGAUCAGCCACAUUGGGACUGAGACACGGCCCAAACUCCUACGGGAGGCAGCAGUGGGGAAUAUUGGACAAUGGGCGCAAGCCUGAUCCAGCCAUGCCGCGUGAGUGAUGAAGGCCCUAGGGUUGUAAAGCUCUUUCACCGGUGAAGAUAAUGACGGUAACCGGAGAAGAAGCCCCGGCUAACUUCGUGCCAGCAGCCGCGGUAAUACGAAGGGGGCUAGCGUUGUUCGGAAUUACUGGGCGUAAAGCGCACGUAGGCGGAUAUUUAAGUCAGGGGUGAAAUCCCGGGGCUCAUCCCCGGAACUGCCUUUGAUACUGGGUAUCUGGAGUAUGGAAGAGGUAAGUGGAAUUCCGAGUGUAGAGGUGAAAUUCGUAGAUAUUCGGAGGAACACCAGUGGCGAAGGCGGCUUACUGGUCCAUUACUGACGCUGAUGUGCGAAAGCGUGGGGAGCAAACAGGAUUAGAUACCCUGGGUAGUCCACGCCGUAAACGAUGAAUGUUAUCCGUCCGGCAUGCAUGC
Molecule: ribosomal RNA, 727 nt
Filed under: Shinella fusca
Lineage: Bacteria; Pseudomonadati; Pseudomonadota; Alphaproteobacteria; Hyphomicrobiales; Rhizobiaceae
Description: bacterial SSU rRNA
Rfam family: Bacterial small subunit ribosomal RNA
Source: RNAcentral